Molecule: ribosomal RNA, 497 nt
Filed under: uncultured bacterium
Lineage: Bacteria
Description: partial 16S ribosomal RNA
Rfam family: Bacterial small subunit ribosomal RNA
Source: RNAcentral
GAUGAACGCUGGCGGCGUGCCUAAUACAUGCAAGUCGAGCGAACAGACGAGGAGCUUGCUCCUCUGACGUUAGCGGCGGACGGGUGAGUAACACGUGGAUAACCUACCUAUAAGACUGGGAUAACUUCGGGAAACCGGAGCUAAUACCGGAUAAUAUAUUGAACCGCAUGGUUCAAUAGUGAAAGACGGUUUUGCUGUCACUUAUAGAUGGAUCCGCGCCGCAUUAGCUAGUUGGUAAGGUAACGGCUUACCAAGGCAACGAUGCGUAGCCGACCUGAGAGGGUGAUCGGCCACACUGGAACUGAGACACGGUCCAGACUCCUACGGGAGGCAGCAGUAGGGAAUCUUCCGCAAUGGGCGAAAGCCUGCCGGAGCAACGCCGCGUGAGUGAUGAAGGUCUUCGGAUCGUAAAACUCUGUUAUUAGGGAAGAACAGAUGUGUAAGUAACUAUGCACGUCUUGACGGUACCUAAUCAGAAAGCCACGGCUAACUACGUG